ACUUCCAAACAGGGCCCUCAGAGACGAUGAGGUUGAUAGGCUGCAGGUGUAAAGGCAGUAAUGUCAUAGCUGAGCAGUACUAAUUGCCCGAAAGCUUACCGUA
RNAcentral lists this ribosomal RNA (103 nucleotides) under Algoriphagus faecimaris. RNAcentral describes it as "23S rRNA. Bacterial LSU". It matches the Rfam family "Bacterial large subunit ribosomal RNA", at positions 2821 to 2925 of the family's 2925-position model. Lineage: Bacteria; Pseudomonadati; Bacteroidota; Cytophagia; Cytophagales; Cyclobacteriaceae. The record is from RNAcentral.